RNAcentral lists this long non-coding RNA (353 nucleotides) under Homo sapiens (human). Its description in RNAcentral is "HSALNT0186713". Lineage: Eukaryota; Metazoa; Chordata; Mammalia; Primates; Hominidae. The record is from RNAcentral.
AGGGUAGAGAAAGGAUAAGAGGAGUUUCCAGUGAAAAGUCAAAAUGGAGAAAGGAAUACCAGCCAUUAACCAGAAGAAAAUUUAAAGAAGGAAACUGUUCAAUAGAUACCAUGUCUUCAGCCCUUUGAUACUAAAGAUUAGCUCACAGGAAAAAAUAACCUCAAGCAAUCCGUAUCUAAUGGUCAAUCUGUUAGCCCUGAUUGACCCAGAACUAAAAGGCCAGCUUCAGAAAGGUUUGAGAAAAACCUUCGCUUUUCAGAGUGUAUUAAUUUGGGUCUCAGCAGCACACAGAUACAUUUGGACUCAGCAAACAGGUUGCAGGUCAGUUAUCUGCAGAUAUUGCCAGCCAAAAC